GUGCCAGCCGCCGCGGUAAUACGGAGGGUGCGAGCGUUAUCCGGAAUCACUGGGUUUAAAGGGUGCGUAGGCGGCCGGCUAAGUCAGGGGUGAAAUCCCGCCGCUCAACGGUGGAACUGCCCUUGAUACUGGCCGGCUCGAAUGGGCGCGAGGCGGGCGGAACGUGGCAUGUAGCGGUGAAAUGCUUAGAUAUGCCACAGAACACCGAUUGCGAAGGCAGCCCGCCAGAGCUCUAUUGACGCUGAGGCACGAAAGCGUGGGGAGCGAACAGGAUUAGAAACCCUCGUAGUCC
This 292-nucleotide ribosomal RNA is filed under the name uncultured bacterium. Its description in RNAcentral is "partial 16S ribosomal RNA". It matches the Rfam family "Bacterial small subunit ribosomal RNA", at positions 505 to 796 of the family's 1533-position model. The record is from RNAcentral.